Molecule: ribosomal RNA, 253 nt
Filed under: uncultured bacterium
Lineage: Bacteria
Description: partial 16S ribosomal RNA
Rfam family: Bacterial small subunit ribosomal RNA
Source: RNAcentral
UACGUAGGGUGCGAGCGUUAAUCGGAAUUACUGGGCGUAAAGCGUGCGCAGGCGGCGCGUUAAGACAGGUGUGAAAGCCCCGAGCUUAACUUGGGAAUUGCGCUUGUGACUGGCGUGCUGGAGUGUGGCAGAGGGAGGUGGAAUUCCACGUGUAGCAGUGAAAUGCGUAGAGAUGUGGAGGAACACCGAUGGCGAAGGCGGCCCUCUGGCUCGACCCUGACGCUGAGGCGCGAAAGCGUGGGGAGCGAACGGG